AUUGAACGCUGGCGGCAUGCCUUACACAUGCAAGUCGAACGGCAGCAUGGAAGAGCUUGCUCUUCUGAUGGCGAGUGGCGAACGGGUGAGUAAAGCAUCGGAACGUACCGUGUAGUGGGGGAUAACGUAGCGAAAGUUACGCUAAUACCGCAUACGCACUGAGGUGGAAAGCAGGGGAUCGCAAGACCUUGCGCUAUACGAGCGGCCGAUGUCAGAUUAGCUAGUUGGUAGGGUAAAGGCCUACCAAGGCGACGAUCUGUAGCGGGUCUGAGAGGAUGAUCCGCCACACUGGGACUGAGACACGGCCCAGACUCCUACGGGAGGCAGCAGUGGGGAAUUUUGGGACAAUGGGCGAAAGCCUGAUCCAGCCAUGCCGCGUGAGUGAAGAAGGCCUCGGGUUGUAAAGGACUCUUUCGGCUGGGAGAAAUCGCACAGGCUAAUACUCUGUGUGGA
This 453-nucleotide ribosomal RNA is filed under the name uncultured bacterium. RNAcentral describes it as "bacterial SSU rRNA". It matches the Rfam family "Bacterial small subunit ribosomal RNA", at positions 30 to 472 of the family's 1533-position model. The record is from RNAcentral.